Molecule: transfer RNA, 85 nt
Filed under: Thermoplasmata archaeon
Lineage: Archaea; Methanobacteriati; Thermoplasmatota; Thermoplasmata
Also listed under: 4 other names
Description: tRNA-Ser
Rfam family: tRNA
About the family: Transfer RNA (tRNA) molecules are approximately 80 nucleotides in length. Their secondary structure includes four short double-helical elements and three loops (D, anti-codon, and T loops). Further hydrogen bonds mediate the characteristic L-shaped molecular structure. tRNAs have two regions of fundamental functional importance: the anti-codon, which is responsible for specific mRNA codon recognition, and the 3' end, to which the tRNAs corresponding amino acid is attached (by aminoacyl-tRNA synthetases). tRNAs cope with the degeneracy of the genetic code in two manners: having more than one tRNA (with a specific anti-codon) for a particular amino acid; and 'wobble' base-pairing, i.e. permitting non-standard base-pairing at the 3rd anti-codon position.
Source: RNAcentral
GCCGAGGUGGCCCAGCCCGGUAAGGCGCGAGCCUGGAGAGCUCGUGUCGCUCUGCGACUCGGGAGUUCAAAUCUCCCCCUCGGCG